UUCGCGCGCCUUUUUUUUUUUUCUCACCAGACAGAGCUGAUAUUAGCAACACGUGCGUUCCCCCGAAAAAAAAAAAAGUGGUGAGAUGGGAUCUUGCGGUUUUUGCUUUGGCGAGAGAGCACGCGCGAAAGCACACACAACAUGCAUCACAUCCCUCUCCCAGAAAGAAUGACAAGUCCUGAAAGGAGGAACGGAAUGUGCGAGGGAGGCGGGGCGUGCAAGCGGAGCGCCGGAACCCGGACCUCUCGCGGUUUUUUUUUUUCUUUGUCACAGCGCUGGGGAGGGAAGCAAGCUCCGUGGCGUGCGUGAGUUCCCUUCCCACCAAAAUCGUAGCUCUUUAGAGCGAGGACGUGCUGAACACUGCACAGAGACGGGCAAGCACUCAGAAGCAUUUCGUUUGCCUUGAUCCUGGAGGCGCGCGGCCAUCUCCCGCUGCCGAGGAUUCGACGCGAACUCCUGGCAGAUCAGAAAUGUUCAGGCGAACGGCGGUUAUAUUUGUCCGUGGACCCAAUUAAGACUUCGUUGACGGGCAAAUAUGGAAUGCUGCAACAAGGACUGGUGUGGAUGGCGUGCUGCGCUGGUCUCGCCAAAUGAAAAGAAUUCUGGUAAGACGCAUGCUUGGUUACAAAAGUCUCACGCAAUCGCUUUUCACAUUGAAUUUGGUCGCAGGUGUGCUGUAAAUGCUGACUGCACAAUAUGUGACUGGCCCGCGGCCGCUUUGAAGGUAAGAUUGUGUUCUCAUUAUUCUAUUUAUUGUACCAUUUGUUUUCCAGUGACAUUACGAGCCAACAAUGAAAACCUCGAUCCACCCUGUCUGCACAUAUUAUCUAGUUUGUGCGCUGUGGAGCUUGAAGCACUUCUCAGAAUUUCAGCACACUC
This is a long non-coding RNA of Rhipicephalus sanguineus (brown dog tick), 879 nucleotides long. RefSeq lists it as uncharacterized. Lineage: Eukaryota; Metazoa; Arthropoda; Arachnida; Ixodida; Ixodidae. The record is from RefSeq and is a predicted model, not a curated record. The transcript is spliced from 3 exons.